UUCGUAGGUGGUCUUGUCAGUCUGAAGUUAAAUUCUGGGGCUCAACCCCAGCUUGCUUCGGAUACUGAUAGACUAGAGUUAUAGAGAGAUUAGCGGAACUCCAUGUGAAGCGGUGGAAUGCGUAGAUAUAUGGAAGAACACCAAUGGCGAAGGCAGCUAAUUAGCUAUAUACUGACGCUCAGGAACGAAAGCGUGGGGAGCAAACA
This 206-nucleotide ribosomal RNA is filed under the name uncultured Mycoplasma sp. RNAcentral's name for it is "partial 16S ribosomal RNA". It matches the Rfam family "Bacterial small subunit ribosomal RNA", at positions 568 to 774 of the family's 1533-position model. The record is from RNAcentral. Lineage: Bacteria; Bacillati; Mycoplasmatota; Mollicutes; Mycoplasmatales; Mycoplasmataceae.